Molecule: transfer RNA, 69 nt
Filed under: Ictidomys tridecemlineatus (thirteen-lined ground squirrel)
Lineage: Eukaryota; Metazoa; Chordata; Mammalia; Rodentia; Sciuridae
Description: Spermophilus tridecemlineatus (thirteen-lined ground squirrel) tRNA
Rfam family: tRNA
About the family: Transfer RNA (tRNA) molecules are approximately 80 nucleotides in length. Their secondary structure includes four short double-helical elements and three loops (D, anti-codon, and T loops). Further hydrogen bonds mediate the characteristic L-shaped molecular structure. tRNAs have two regions of fundamental functional importance: the anti-codon, which is responsible for specific mRNA codon recognition, and the 3' end, to which the tRNAs corresponding amino acid is attached (by aminoacyl-tRNA synthetases). tRNAs cope with the degeneracy of the genetic code in two manners: having more than one tRNA (with a specific anti-codon) for a particular amino acid; and 'wobble' base-pairing, i.e. permitting non-standard base-pairing at the 3rd anti-codon position.
Source: Rfam by way of RNAcentral
GGGGUUGUGGCUCAGUGAUAGAGCACCCACCUUGCAUGUGUGAGACCUUCGGUUCAAUCCUCAGCACCA